AGAUUGAACGCUGGCGGCAGGCCUAACACAUGCAAGUCGAGCGGCAGCACGGGUACUUGUACCUGGUGGCGAGCGGCGGACGGGUGAGUAAUGCCUAGGAAUCUGCCUGGUAGUGGGGGAUAACGCUCGGAAACGGACGCUAAUACCGCAUACGUCCUACGGGAGAAAGCAGGGGACCUUCGGGCCUUGCGCUAUCAGAUGAGCCUAGGUCGAUUAGCUAGUUGGUGAGGUAAUGGCUCACCAAGGCGACGAUCCGUAACUGGUCUGGAGGGGAUGAUCAGUCACACUGGAACUGAGACACGGUCCAGACUCCGUACGGGAGCAGCA
Molecule: ribosomal RNA, 327 nt
Filed under: uncultured soil bacterium
Lineage: Bacteria
Description: bacterial SSU rRNA
Rfam family: Bacterial small subunit ribosomal RNA
Source: RNAcentral